CACUCCUGCGGGAGGCAGCAGUGGGGAAUAUUGGACAAUGGGCGCAAGCCUGAUCCAGCCAUGCCGCGUGAGUGAUGAAGGCCCUAGGGUUGUAAAGCUCUUUCACCGGUGAAGAUAAUGACGGUAACCGGAGAAGAAGCCCCGGCUAACUUCGUGCCAGCAGCCGCGGUAAUACGAAGGGGGCUAGCGUUGUUCGGAUUUUCUGGGCGUAAAGCGCACGUAGGCGGACUAUUAAGUCAGGGGUGAAAUCCCGGGGCUCAACCCCGGAACUGCCUUUGAUACUGGUAGUCUUGAGUUCGAGAGAGGUGAGUGGAAUUCCGAGUGUAGAGGUGAAAUUCGUAGAUAUUCGGAGGAACACCAGUGGCGAAGGCGGCUCACUGGCUCGAUACUGACGCUGAGGUGCGAAAGCGUGGGGAGCAAACAGGAUUAGAAACCCCUGUAGUCC
Molecule: ribosomal RNA, 445 nt
Filed under: uncultured organism
Description: partial 16S ribosomal RNA
Rfam family: Bacterial small subunit ribosomal RNA
Source: RNAcentral